UCCAGACUCCUACGGGAGGCAGCAGUGGGGAAUAUUGCACAAUGGGGGAAACCCUGAUGCAGCGACGCCGCGUGAGUGAAGAAGUACUCCGGUAUGUAAAGCCCUGUCAGCAGGGAAGAAAAUGACAGUACCUGACCAAGAAGCACCGGCUAAAUACGUGCCAGCAGCCGCGGUAAUACGUAUGGUGCAAGCGUUAUCCGGAUUUACUGGGUGUAAAGGGGGCGCAGACGGCGAUGCAAGCCAGGAGUGAAAGCCCGGGGCCCAACCCCGGGACUGCUCUUGGAACUGCGUGGCUGGAGUGCAGGAGGGGCAGGCGGAAUUCCUGGUGUAGCGGUGAAAUGCGUAGAUAUCAGGAGGAACACCGGUGGCGAAGGCGGCCUGCUGGACUGCAACUGACGUUGAGGCCCGAAAGCGUGGGGAGCAAACAGGAUUAGAUACCCCCGUA
RNAcentral lists this ribosomal RNA (445 nucleotides) under uncultured bacterium. Its description in RNAcentral is "bacterial SSU rRNA". It matches the Rfam family "Bacterial small subunit ribosomal RNA", at positions 330 to 792 of the family's 1533-position model. The record is from RNAcentral.